AGUGAACGCUGGCGGUAGGCCUAACACAUGCAAGUCGAACGGCAGCACAGUAAGAGCUUGCUCUUACGGGUGGCGAGUGGCGGACGGGUGAGGAAUACAUCGGAAUCUACUUUUUCGUGGGGGAUAACGUAGGGAAACUUACGCUAAUACCGCAUACGACCUACGGGUGAAAGCAGGGGAUCUUCGGACCUUGCGCGAUUGAAUGAGCCGAUGUCGGAUUAGCUAGUUGGCGGGGUAAAGGCCCACCAAGGCGACGAUCCGUAGCUGGUCUGAGAGGAUGAUCAGCCACACUGGAACUGAGACACGGUCCAGACUCCUACGGGAGGCAGCAGUGGGGAAUAUUGGACAAUGGGCGCAAGCCUGAUCCAGCCAUACCGCGUGGGUGAAGAAGGCCUUCGGGUUGUAAAGCCCUUUUGCUGGGAAAGAAAAGCAGCGGGUUAAGACCCCGCUGUUCUGACGGUACCCAAAGAAUAAGCACCGGCUAACUUCGUG
This 492-nucleotide ribosomal RNA is filed under the name uncultured bacterium. RNAcentral describes it as "partial 16S ribosomal RNA". It matches the Rfam family "Bacterial small subunit ribosomal RNA", at positions 29 to 507 of the family's 1533-position model. The record is from RNAcentral.